This 253-nucleotide ribosomal RNA is filed under the name uncultured bacterium. RNAcentral describes it as "partial 16S ribosomal RNA". It matches the Rfam family "Bacterial small subunit ribosomal RNA", at positions 524 to 776 of the family's 1533-position model. The record is from RNAcentral.
UACGUAGGGUGCAAGCGUUGUCCGGAUUUAUUGGGCGUAAAGAGCGUGUAGGCGGCCAGGUAGGUCAGCUGUGAAAACUCGAGGCUCAACCUCGAGACGCCGGUUGAAACCAUCUGGCUAGAGUCCGGAAGAGGAGAGUGGAAUUCCUGGUGUAGCGGUGAAAUGCGCAGAUAUCAGGAAGAACACCCGUGGCGAAGGCGGCUCUCUAGUACGGUACUGACGCUGAGACGCGAAAGCGUGGGGAGCGAACAGG